This is a long non-coding RNA of Olea europaea var. sylvestris, 965 nucleotides long. RefSeq lists it as uncharacterized. The transcript has 3 exons. NCBI's taxonomy places the organism in Eukaryota, Viridiplantae, Streptophyta, Magnoliopsida, Lamiales, Oleaceae. The record is from RefSeq and is a predicted model, not a curated record.
UACAACAUGAUUUGCCCCCUCCAACAAAUCAAGCUGAAUUUGAAAUGCAUUCAACAUCUGAACAUGCAGAAGACGUCGAAAGAUCAACAAAAGAAAAAAAAGUAAGCAAAAAGAGACACAAUCUCCAUCACCAACGGCAACGAAUACUUUAGAAGAUUAUAACAUCGACAAAUACAAAAACAUUAGAGAAUGGAUAUCAGAAAAUCCAUCAGAUGCAUAUUGGAAAGAUGAAAUCGGCAAUCAAUACGCAAGACAUUCGCUGAUAAAUAUAAUAAAUCAAAUUAAAGAUAUAAAUAUUGUGCAUAUUGAUAUAGAAUUAAAGCUGUUGCGAAGACUCAUUCAUGAUACAUCUUCCCCGGUUUCCAAAGAAUAUGCAAUCAUGGACUUUCGAUUCGAGAAUGAAUGUGUUCAUUGGUACACAACGAUCAAACAAGGAGCAACCGCUUCUGUGAAUAAUUUCUAGGCAUUAGAGCAAUACACAAAAGGAGAAUUACCUACAUUUGCUCGACCCUGGAUAACAUACAACUAUUUAUUGAUUCCAGUCGCAUAUCCAGGCAACAGUUGGUUUAUUUUUCUUGUUGAUUUUGAAAAGUGAAAAUUUCAAGUAUAUGAUUGCAACCACAACAUUCAUACACCAGAUGCAAUCAAGUUACGUGAAGCCCCAGUUUUGGAUGUUGUACAAUCAUUAUUAAUAGCUACUGACAUUUUCUUCGGGAAGCCAAAUUUACGAAAACAUAGAAAUAAACGUAUGAAAUUGGAAAUCAUACCGUAUCUAUCUUGUCAAAAUAAUGGGUAAGUAUCUCAACAAUUUACUUUAAUAUUUAUUUUUCUAUUCAAUUUUAUUUUACAUUUAUAACAUUACUAUAAAAUAACUUCAAACUAAUUUUUUCUGUAGGCCAAACUCUGGAGUUCUUCUUCUCAAAUACAUUGAAUGCUUCAUUUUCGGAUAUCCAUUAGAAGCAGUU